RNAcentral lists this ribosomal RNA (264 nucleotides) under uncultured archaeon. RNAcentral's name for it is "partial 16S ribosomal RNA". It matches the Rfam family "Archaeal small subunit ribosomal RNA", at positions 717 to 982 of the family's 1478-position model. The record is from RNAcentral.
AGACGUCUACAUUAGAUACCCGCGUAGUCCCAGCCGUAAACUAUGCGCGUUAGGUAUGUCGGUAACCACGUGUUACUGAUGUGCCGAAGAGAAGUCGUGAAACGCACCACCUGGGAAGUACGGUCGCAAGGCUGAAACUUAAAGGAAUUGGCGGGGAGCACCACAACAGGUGGAGCCUGCGGUUUAAUUGGAUUCAACGCCGGACAUCUCACCGGAUAAGACAGCUGAAUGAUUGUCAAUCUGAAGGUUUUACAUGACUAGCUG